Molecule: ribosomal RNA, 438 nt
Filed under: uncultured bacterium
Lineage: Bacteria
Description: partial 16S ribosomal RNA
Rfam family: Bacterial small subunit ribosomal RNA
Source: RNAcentral
CUACGUUCGCACCAGUGAGGAAUAUUGCACAAUGGGGGGAACCCUGAUGCAGCAACGCCGCGUGGAGGAUGACGCAUUUCGGUGUGUAAACUCCUUUUAUAUGUCAAGAAAAUGACGGUAGCAUAUGAAUAAGCACCGGCUAACUCCGUGCCAGCAGCCGCGGUAAUACGGAGGGUGCAAGCGUUACUCAGAAUCACUGGGCGUAAAGGACGCGUAGGCGGGUUGGAAAGUCAGGUGUGAAAUCCUACAGCUUAACUGUAGAACUGCACUUGAAACUUCUAAUCUAGAGUAUGGGAGGGGGAGAUGGAAUUAGUGGUGUAGGGGUAAACUCCGUAGAUAUCACUAGGAAUACCUAAAGCGAAGGCGAUCUCCUGGAACAUUACUGACGCUAAGGCGUGAAAGCGUGGGGAGCAAACAGGAUUAGAUACCCUCGUAGUC